Molecule: ribosomal RNA, 327 nt
Filed under: uncultured Prevotella sp.
Lineage: Bacteria; Pseudomonadati; Bacteroidota; Bacteroidia; Bacteroidales; Prevotellaceae
Description: bacterial SSU rRNA
Rfam family: Bacterial small subunit ribosomal RNA
Source: RNAcentral
GAUGAACGCUAGCUACAGGCUUAACACAUGCAAGUCGAGGGGCAUCAUGACGAAAGCUUGCUUUUGUUGAUGGCGACCGGCGUACGGGUGAGUAACACGUUGGGAACCUGCCCUUAAGACCGGAAUACCAGAUGGAAACAUUUGCUAAUGCCGGAUGUUGAUAUUUUUACGCAAGUAAUUAUAUCCAAAAGGAACUAUUGUUCCGCUUUCGGAUGGCCCUGCGUCACAUUAGUUAGUUGGCGGGAUAAAGGCCCACCAAGACUGGGAUGCGUAGCCGAGCUGAGAGGCUGAUCGGCCACAUUGGGACUGAGACACAGCCCAGACUCC